GAGGGCAUAGCUCAGUGGUAGAGUGCAUACCUAGUGUGUACAAGAUCCUGGGUUCAAGCCCCAGUACCUCCA
Camelus ferus (Wild Bactrian camel) is the source of this 72-nucleotide transfer RNA. It matches the Rfam family "tRNA". From Rfam's summary of the family: Transfer RNA (tRNA) molecules are approximately 80 nucleotides in length. The record is from Rfam. Lineage: Eukaryota; Metazoa; Chordata; Mammalia; Artiodactyla; Camelidae.